GAUGAACGCUGGCGGCGUGCCUAAUACAUGCAAGUCGAGCGAACGGACGAGAAGCUUGCUUCUCUGAUGUUAGCGGCGGACGGGUGAGUAACACGUGGAUAACCUACCUAUAAGACUGGGAUAACUUCGGGAAACCGGAGCUAAUACCGGAUAAUAUUUUGAACCGCAUGGUUCAAAAGUGAAAGACGGUCUUUCUGUCACUUAUAGAUGGAUCCCCGCUGCAUUAGCUAGUUGGUAAGGUAACGGCUUACCAAGGCAACGAUGCAUAGACGACCGGAGAGGGGGAUCGGCCACACGGGAACUGAGACACGGUCCAGACUCCUACGGGAGGCAGCAGUAGGGAAUCUUCCGCAAUGGGCGAAAGCCUGACGGAGCAACGCCGCGUGAGUGAUGAAGGUCUUCGGAUCGUAAAACUCUGUUAUUAGGGAAGAACAUAUGUGUAAGUAACUGUGCACAUCUUGACGGUACCUAAUCAGAAAGCCACGGCUAACUACGUG
Molecule: ribosomal RNA, 497 nt
Filed under: uncultured bacterium
Lineage: Bacteria
Description: partial 16S ribosomal RNA
Rfam family: Bacterial small subunit ribosomal RNA
Source: RNAcentral